GCACAUUUUAAGCGAGAAUAUGAUAGAAUUCUCUCAUCUUCCUUCUAUUCCAUUGCCUCCAUCAUUUCAUGAAAGGAAAGCUUUUUUCUUUUUUAAUUUGGUCAUUUUUACUAUUUUAAACCAAAACAAGUUUAAAUCCUUCCAAAAUUUCCAUAGAUUUUUUUACCGAAAUCGAUAGAAAAACCUUAUAACAAGCUUGGUUUCCUGAGAAGAGAGAUUAUGGUCAUCUUGGAGGAGAGAGAAAAGUGAAGAAAGAUUUUGAAGUAAAGAAACAAGGUAAGAAUGGUGAGAUUUUGUCAUGGUUUCCUUACUAGUUUCAUUCAAAGUGUAUGAAAAUAAUAUUUAAUCCAUGUUUUAACAUGAAAACUUGUGGGUAUGUGGUAUGUUAAUAAAGUGAAAGAGAAGAGAAGUGAUUGUCAAGGGGUUGAUGAAGGAAAGAGGUAGCAAAGGAGUGAGAGAAGGAAGAAGAAAGCAAAUCCAAGCACUUAAGUGUAAGCACCCAAUUAAAUCUACGUGUAGGAAAUAUUCAAGUUGUUAGAAUAAUAUUUGUAUGACUAAAUUAUUAAGAAUAUGAUAAUAUUUAUUAUGAAAUUGAAAAAGAAGUAUUAUUGAUAUGAAAUGAAUUUCAAUGAUAAAGUGAAGUGGGGUUUUGGUAAAAAAAGUACUAAAUUGCAAAGUAUACAAAAGAAUUUAUAUGUGAAAUAAAUAAUAUUUUAGUGGACUUAAAUGAAGUAUUAUAUGGUAGUGAGUUAAAUUCAAAGUGAUAUUGAAGUAGAAAUUCAAAGUGAUAAUGAAGUAGAAUCUAUAGUGGUUAUUGAAUUUUUUAUAUUGCUAAGAACGAAAUUGUAAAGUAUUCAAAAGUGAUUAUGUGUACUAAAAUAUUAAAAUAAAAUAUUUAAGUAAGGCUAUAUAUGGAAGUAAAAUAAAAUUUGAAGUUAUAAGAUAGUUAUUAUUGAAAUAUAGGUAAGCAUGGACUAAAUUGAAAAGACUAUAAAACUAAGUGUAGCGAAUUUAAUGUAAUGAGGACUAAUUUGAAAUGCAUGUAAAAAUUAGAAUUGUGAAAUAAAAUACUUUAAUAGAGAGUUUGUAACAGCCCAUUUUCAGUGGUGUCGGAAACAGUCGUUUUGGGAUCAUAAUUUCAACGAGUGAGUAAACAUUUUAAUGUUUAUUUAUUGUUAUAGGGUUAAAUUAGUGUCAUACUAAAUUUUUGUUAAGAAAUUUUAAAGUUUAAAUGGUUAAUUAGGUAAAAAGGACUAAACUAACAAAAAAUACAAAAGUUAAAUUCUACUAAUUAAAUUAAUUGAAUGGCUUUGGAAAUGUAAGUUUGUAGAUCUAUAAGGUAAUUAUGCCAUUUAUAUUGGUGGUAGACAAUGAUGGACAUAGGUUGGUUAUUUUAUAAGUGUUAAUUAAAGGGUAAAAUAGUAAAACAAUAAAUAAAAGCAUGUACAAGUAAAAUAAUGGUAUCAUUUUUUUUUUCCAUUUUCUUGUGUUUGCUAAAAAUCACCAUUGUUGAGCUUGAGAAAAUUUAGCCAAGUUUCCUUUGGUGCAUGGUGAGAUUUUUGAACUCCGUUUUAAUCACAUGUAAAGUAAUGUGAGUAAAUGUAACUCAUUUCAUGUUGUAUCCUAUGUUUCAUAGAUGAUGAAUUGUUAAGUUAUUUACUACUGAUGUGAAUUGUGGUGUUUAGGAAAUUCAAGUACUAUAUGAUUUAAUGAGCAUGAUUGAAUGAUUAAAUAUUAAAGAACAGUAAGUUUAAGUUUCUCUUAUACAAAACUUACUAAGCAUUAAAUGCUUACGUAGUUGUUUUCCUCUAUUUUAUAGAUCAUCAGAAACUUCAAUUGGUUGGAAUCUUGUCGGAGCCUAUCACACUAUCUACCGAUCAUUUUGGUAGAACGUUUUGGUUACGGUUAUAAAUGGCAUGUAUAAGCCUGAUAUGUAAUAGAUGUAUUUGUAUAUGCUUGGAUAUUUAUUACAAAUGUUAUGUAUUAAGCUUGGUAUAAGCUUAAUGUAUGUGCCUUUAAUCUUGGUGUAAAUAUGUUUAUAUAAAGUUGUUUUAGUCUUUUGAUAUAAACUUUAUUUAAGUGUUUGAAUCAUGGUAGGAAUGAAUGUGAAUGAAUAAGAAGAAAUGAUAAGUUUGGUAUGAGUUUUAUACAGGAACUUAUAAAUUUGAAUGCAAAUUAGUUGAUGUGUCAUGUGAAUUGAGGUUGAUAAUUGAAUUAUGGUGUCAAUGAGGACACAUUGAUUUGGCACUUAGGUUGAUUGUUUUGGCAUGUUUUAAACUUUUUUAAAUGUGUUUUUAAAGUGUGGAAAUGGUUGAUUUUGAUUUAACUUGGUACCUAAGUUUUGGAUGAAAGUAUGCAUUGUUUUUUUAAGUUUUUU
This 2377-nucleotide long non-coding RNA is filed under the name Gossypium barbadense (sea-island cotton). RNAcentral's name for it is "long non-coding RNA (GBAR_LNC008310)". Lineage: Eukaryota; Viridiplantae; Streptophyta; Magnoliopsida; Malvales; Malvaceae. The record is from RNAcentral.